RNAcentral lists this unclassified non-coding RNA (1582 nucleotides) under Hevea brasiliensis (rubber tree). Lineage: Eukaryota; Viridiplantae; Streptophyta; Magnoliopsida; Malpighiales; Euphorbiaceae. The record is from RNAcentral.
UUAGAAUUACUAUCAAUAACAAUAAAAAGAUUUUAUAUUACUUGAUAACUUAAAAGUAAAAAUAAAGUGAAUUAAUAAGUUAACUGAUUUAUAAGGUUAAGCUAAAAAGAAUCCUUACAACCUCAAAGGGACAAAAGGUCACAAAAAUUAGCAAACUAGAUAUAUAGCUUAAUUAAUGUCCAUAAAAUCUCAAAAUAGUCUACCAGCAGUAUGUAUUAUCAUUAGCAUAAUAAAAGAGAUGCUACUCAAAAGAUAACUAGCACACUUAACGAAAAUAGAUAUAUGACUUAACUAAUGUCUAUAAAUCUCAAAAUAGUCUACCAAAAAUGCAUAUUAUUAUCGGCACAAUAAGGAGAUGCUAAUUAAAAGAUAACCAACAGCCUAAUUCUGUGAGGCAUUAGAACCACCCACCAUCUGCAUCAACAAGUUCUUGCGAAAUGCAGGAGGACAUCCAAGCAAACCUCGUAACAUGUCAGGCUUUUGAAUAAAAAACAAAUAACAAGUAGAUAAGAGAUGUGACUCAACACUUAGUUCUUCCAAUAAAGUCCAUGUUUCAUUCUCUGAAAUUGGAAGCUUGGUGGCUUUGACAAACUCAAUUGUAGAAUUCAUAAGUGCUUGCGCAACAUUAUCAAGUCCCUCCUUUAAUACAACAACUUCUUCAUCAACCUUUGAUCUUUUAGCAGUUUUAUUCCUUAAUAAAUUUUUAGAUUGAGAAUGAGAUUGGGAUCUUUCCAUUCCAAUAGGUUCCUCAGAUGCUAUAUUUUGUGCUUCUUCAAAUGGUCCAUUAAAAUUUUCUAAGGUGACUUCAUUUUCUGAUACCAAGAAAUCAACAUCAUCAAUGUUAUUCACUUGAGAAGCUUUUGUCUCUCCUUCUCUAGCCCUCCUUUGCCUCAUCUCUGCUGCAGUUUCAGCAUGCUUUCCACUAGCCCUAUCAUUCCCAUAAAGUAGACACAACUUUUCAUAGUUUCGAAUUGUUUUGUUCAUCCAAGCAGCAACUUCAGGUUUAACUUAAUUAAUUGCUCCCAAACUUCUGGCUCAGCUAUAAACAUUUCAGAUAUUGGAUCCCAAGCAAAACCACUCAUGCCAUUCUUGAAAAUAUCAUAAGCUGGAAACCAACAUCUCUUUAUAUGCUUCAUACGAUUCUUAACUUUUUCCUUAUCAAUUGGUUGAUCAGGAAAUUUUUGUUUCACUUCCUUUGCAAUAUUCCCCAAAGCAGUUACAGUGAAAGUUCCAUUCACUCUAAAGCCUUGUUGAUGUUGAUUUACAUAUGCAUCAAUUAGAGUAUCAUCCAUUGGUUUACUCCAAAAGCAUUGUGUAUUUCCACCAACUGACUUCCCUUCAUUAUUUAGUGGCUGCUUUCUUUUUGACAUCCUCAGAACUACAUGAAAUUGAUAAGCACAUAAGAGAAGUUGACAAAAAGAAUAAUUGCACAAAACACAAUAAAAAAUUCUAACAAUAAUGUAACCAAUAAUAAUUAUACAAAACACAAUACAAAAAGUUCACAUUUAUUUUUAAUAAAAGAUUAACAACUUAAAAUGUUAAUACAAGAAAAAUAAUUAUAUGUAACACAUAGAAACUUGGA